GAUGAACGCUGGCGGCGUGCCUAAUACAUGCAAGUCGAGCGAACGGACGAGAAGCUUGCUCCUCUGAUGUUAGCGGCGGACGGGUGAGUAACACGUGGAUAACCUACCUAUAAGACUGGGAUAACUUCGGGAAACCGGAGCUAAUACCGGAUAAUAUCUUGAACCGCAUGGUUCAAAAGUGAAAGACGGUCUUGCUGUCACUUAUAGAUGGAUCCGCGCUGCAUUAGCUAGUUGGUAAGGUAACGGCUUACCAAGGCAACGAUGCGUAGCCGACCUGAGAGGGUGAUCGGCCACCCGGGAACGGAGACACGGUCCAGACUCCUACGGGAGGCAGCAGUAGGGAAUCUUCCGCAAUGGGCGAAAGCCUGACGGAGCAACGCCACGUGAGUGAUGAAGGUCUUCGGAUCGUAAAACUCUGUUAUUAGGGAAGAACAAAUGUGUAAGUAACUGUGCACAUCUUGACGGUACCUAAUCAGAAAGCCACGGCUAACUACGUG
Molecule: ribosomal RNA, 497 nt
Filed under: uncultured bacterium
Lineage: Bacteria
Description: partial 16S ribosomal RNA
Rfam family: Bacterial small subunit ribosomal RNA
Source: RNAcentral